This is a long non-coding RNA of Meriones unguiculatus (Mongolian gerbil), 1259 nucleotides long. RefSeq lists it as uncharacterized. The transcript has 2 exons. The record is from RefSeq and is a predicted model, not a curated record. Lineage: Eukaryota; Metazoa; Chordata; Mammalia; Rodentia; Muridae.
GCACUCUGCCACUCGGGAGGCAGAAACAAAAAUCAUCAGAAGUUCCCAGUCAUCCUUGGCUGUAUAUGUAGUGUGUGAGGCCAACUCGGGUUACUGAGAUCCUGGCUAACAAAAAGAGUGAAGGGACCUCCAGUGAAGAACACAUUUCUGUACUACUAUCAAGAGGGGGCAACACCCGAGGCCAGCAGCCUAGUGGAAAAGGAAGGAAGGAAUCCUCUUUCAGCGUAGACUCUUGGCCAACCAGCAGCUGAGCGGUGCGGCUUACUCGGGAUCAGCGGAUUCCCCGGGCAGGAGGGCCUGGGCCUGGAGGGUCUGUUCAUACUUCUGCAGCUGGGCCCAGAAACCCAAGUUGGGCUCGGCUUCCGGGCGGGCGCUCUUCACCAACUGUAAUCAGGAAAGCAGCGGUGAGAGAUCGGACAGACAGCCCAGGGCGCAGAGGCUCCGCCCCGAGCGUGAAGGGGCACGCCCCGGAAGAGCCACUCUAUGCGGGGCCCGCCCCGGAAGACUCGCACCUGGAAGGCGCGCUCCAGGCUGAGGCCGCGGUAUCGCAUGAGGUAGGCGGUGCAGACGGCGGCUGAACGGCUGCGGCCGUUCUUGCAGUACACGAGGCAGGAGCCGCUGUCGCGCACCGCAGCCUCCAUGGCGGCACAGGUGGGCUCCAGGUGCGUCAGGAGGUCCUCAGCUGGGUCGUCGAACACGGGUACGCGCAGCUCGGCCACUCCGGGUGCGCGGGGCCCGGGCUGCUGGCGGGAGACGUUGACACACAGGGUGAUGCCUGCGCGCACCAGCAGCUCCGUCGCCCCUGCGGCUCGUGCAUUCCCGAUGAAGAGCGCGGGCGCGACGCGCGCGAACCGCGGCGGCACAGCCUCGGAGGUGCCCAUGACCCCAGCGACCUCGAGGGUCAUCUGGGGGUCGCAGCUGGCGGGGUCCGUGCUCUGGCCGCUAGGAGGCGACCUCGCAGCUCGUUGGGCGGAGCCUCUCCUGGCCUCCCCUCGGCAUUGGCUCAGUCGGCAGUGGGCGGGCCCGGCAGCUGGCGACCUAGCUGCAAGGCCCGCCCCGUCUUCUGCCUGGUCUCGCCCGCUGGCUAGCGUCUUUUGUGAGGGCCUUGGGGCAGGCCCUCUGCCCGGGACAGCAGGCCCCAGCUGCACCUUUAUCCCCUUUCGUUAAAUGCUUCGUAGCAAGUAGUGCCUUGGCUUUCUCAACUUUUGUAAAACAUGUUUCAUAGUCAAUAAAACUACCGCUGAAUGCGUGUCUUCAUA